RNAcentral lists this non-coding RNA (29 nucleotides) under Rattus norvegicus (Norway rat). The record is from RNAcentral. Lineage: Eukaryota; Metazoa; Chordata; Mammalia; Rodentia; Muridae.
UCCCACUUGUGUCCUAAUCGGAUGGUGUC